RNAcentral lists this ribosomal RNA (493 nucleotides) under uncultured bacterium. Its description in RNAcentral is "partial 16S ribosomal RNA". It matches the Rfam family "Bacterial small subunit ribosomal RNA", at positions 29 to 507 of the family's 1533-position model. The record is from RNAcentral.
ACGCACGCUGGCGGCGUGCUUCACCCCUGCCAGUCGAACGGAAAGGCCUGCUUUCCCUUGUGGAUUGCGGGUACUCGAGUGGCGAACGGGUGAGUAACACGUGAGUGAUCUGCCCCCAACUUGGGUAUAAGCCUGGGAAACUGGGUCUAAUUCCCGAUAGGACUGCAGGGUGGUGCCUGUGGUGGAAAACGAUUUUCUAGUGGUUGGGGAUGAGCUCGCGGCCUAUCAGCUUGUUGGUGGGGUAAUGGCCUACCAAGGCGGCGACGGGUAGCCGGCCUGAGAGGGUGGACGGCCACAUUGGGACUGAGAUACGGCCCAGACUCCUACGGGAGGCAGCAGUGGGGAAUAUUGCACAAUGGGCGGAAGCCUGAUGCAGCGACGCCGCGUGGGGGAUGACGGCCUUCGGGUUGUAAACUCCUUUCGACCGCGAGGAAGCCACCUGGUUGGAAGGGUGGUGACGGUAGUGGUAGAAGAAGCACCGGCUAACUACGUG